This 678-nucleotide long non-coding RNA is filed under the name Homo sapiens (human). Its description in RNAcentral is "LINGO1 antisense RNA 2 (LINGO1-AS2)". The record is from RNAcentral. Lineage: Eukaryota; Metazoa; Chordata; Mammalia; Primates; Hominidae.
GAUCAUCAGACCAUUCUGAAGAGGAGGAGUUGGCACAGUUACUUCUCCUCUCUGAGCCUCGAUCUCCCUGCCGGCAAAAUGGGGAUCCUUGUCCCAGCUCCACUCACUCUAUAGGGUUCGUUUGAGGCUCAUGGAAUGAAAAGAUCUAAAGAAGUCUGGCCAGAGGGACACUGAGAUGAGCAAUGUGGUUGGAGGAGAGGAUACUGACCCAAGAAUUCUCUGGAUAAGAAGAAGGAGGAGGGGAAGCCUGAAGUGGAUGGGUCGAGCCUCAGCUGUGGAAGAAUUGCUAAUUACAGCCACCAUAAGGAAAUAUCAAUGAUGGACGUCAAUAUUAUUGCCUCCUGCAUCCCUGCCUGUUUAUUUGGAGAUGAAAAGCGCCCUAGGGUCAUCUCUCCAGGACGAAGAUGAGUGAUGACAGAAGGGAGGAGAGCUACACAUGGAGAAAAGGGCAUCCUCCAGCUGGAUUCAUUCAUGAAACCAGGACCCAUUUCCUCUGGGCAGAGUUCUCUCCACUGAGGGCCCAGGGCUGGGGCUGAGGGCAAAGGAACCUGCACAGGGAGGAGGAACUAGUGAUCCUGCUCCCAGCCCUGGUUCACCAAGUGACUGCAUGUAUGCCUCUUUGUGCCUCAGUUAACUCAUCUGAUAAAUGGGUAUGACAAUUCCAAAAAAAAAAAAAAA